AGGUGGCAACAGCAGCAGCAAAAGUCCAGCAGUCUGAGCUGCAGAUAUGUGACAUCUCUGCAAGAAUCGCUGCUUUGAAGAGUGCAGGGCUCAACGUGGACCCAAAGUCACGUUUGACUAAAGGAUGGAUCAGACCACCAUUCACUCUGGACUCAUCUAGACACCUGAGGAGGCGAUUACCAGCACCACCAGUGAACGGUAAC
Long non-coding RNA from Thalassophryne amazonica, 203 nucleotides. RefSeq lists it as uncharacterized. Lineage: Eukaryota; Metazoa; Chordata; Actinopteri; Batrachoidiformes; Batrachoididae. The transcript has 3 exons. The record is from RefSeq and is a predicted model, not a curated record.